This 301-nucleotide ribosomal RNA is filed under the name uncultured bacterium. RNAcentral's name for it is "partial 16S ribosomal RNA". It matches the Rfam family "Bacterial small subunit ribosomal RNA", at positions 509 to 807 of the family's 1533-position model. The record is from RNAcentral.
CAGCAGCCGCGGUAAUACGAAGGUCCCGAGCGUUGUUCGGAAUCACUGGGCGUAAAGGGAGCGUAGGCGGCGUGGUAAGCCAGAUGUGAAAUCCCGGGGCUCAACCCCGGAACUGCAUCCGAUACUGCCAUGCUAGAGGAUUGGAGAGGUAGCUGGAAUUCUUGGUGUAGCAGUGAAAUGCGUGGAGAUCAAGAGGAACACUCGUGGCGAAAGCGAGCUACUGGACAAUAACUGACGCUGAGGCUCGAAGGCCAGGGUAGCGAAAGGGAUUAGAUACCCGUGUAGUCCCUGUCUCUUAUAC